UNGCAUCAGUAGAUACCUAUAUGGAUGG
This 28-nucleotide non-coding RNA is filed under the name Rattus norvegicus (Norway rat). Lineage: Eukaryota; Metazoa; Chordata; Mammalia; Rodentia; Muridae. The record is from RNAcentral.